AUGUUGUUACAGGGUGGUUAACUUCGCCAGCGGCCCCCUUUCCCGGGGCAGUCCCUGCUCUCCCCUGCUAGAGGGGCACCCUAAUCCGUCACCCCAUCCGACUUCAGAAUGUAUUCGUUGGGUUCGGCAACUCACCACCAGCAUCCAACCAAAUCUAGCGGAUCAACGGCGCAUCAACUUAGUUCAUGGUUAGCUCGCAAGUUGAUUUUAUCACGACCUACAUCGUCCAUAUGAUGGGGGGGCCACCUCCCAUUUCAACACUCCUCAAACACCCGAGGAACCGGCAGGCGGAUUUGAACCCGUGUCGGCCGGGAGCAGAAGUCAGGCCUUAACCUCUGCCAGCCGCGUGCCGUAUAAGAAUGUAUGUCGCCUCAGCCGCGUGCCCAAAGCUCUCCGGGAAACCUCAGCCGGAUAGCGCAGCUCUGCCGGCGGGUGCUUCACGCAGCUGUUUCUUGAGGGGACUCAUGACACCGCACACAGUUCGUGGCCUGGAUUCGGCGCCACGCAGGAUUAGUGAGAAGGAGCGGCGGGUCGAGGUAUCCACGAUAGAUUUCCGGUUAUGAGGCGGUUAGGGGCGAGAGGGGCCCACGGCUUACCGCCCACGUCAGGGUCUUAAUGCCUGGGAGAGGGGGGUUGCUUCGCUGCCUAGGACCCCGGGGGCCUUGUGGUCCAAACUGGCCGCCACGGUGGCCAUCCAGAUGGCGGCCAUUCUCUUCCGCGACCCUCGCUACCCUCCCUAAGCAUUGCUUAUCAGGCCAGUACGUUUUAUUUAUCCUGAUUGAAUUGUGUUCUUCUGGAUUCUGUCUUAAGAAGCCCGUAAGGGCCCGUACGAGUGAGCCGUACAGCACAGGGAAAGAGUGAGCCCUAAAUGACAGCGGGAGUUUAUCCUACACCCCUCUCCCCUCACACACGCACACACACACACAGUUUUAAAAGGAAAAGCUAAAGCCAAGCAUGGCGAACAAAGCGGACCAGCAGCUGUCUGUCAAAUCUGGUUCCCUGAGCUGAGCCGUGCCUAAGCCUCAAGCCUUAAAAGGGAAGACAAACCCCAAAAGACGCCUCAAGCAAGCAAUGGUUGUUACAAUCAGCUGAAGAAGUUGGACGACUGAAGGAGUAAAUAGCAGGGGGCAUGGCAUUUCCAUACAACACGAAGGCGCGCAAUUCGAUCAGUGCUUUCAGGGGUAAACCAUUACUGAUAUACAUGAUAACAUGAUACAGCGGGCAGUUGUCUGGUCAACAUAGCGAAUAGCCCCGUGAAGACAUAAGGGAAGUCCUGGCCGAAAUACAACAAAGCAGACUCGGUCGAUAGGCCGAACCGUGCCUCCUUUGCUUGCCUUGGGCAAAUGCAAUGACAUAUUAGCAUAGCCGCAUUCCCGCACUUCAUAGCAUAUGGAUGGACCUCAAUAGUCAACAGAAUGGAGCACGAGUGACGGAAUGUCCAGUCAACCACCUUACGGACACUGAUGAUAUGCUGUAUAUGUGUUAUGUAUGUAUGUCACAGAAGCAUGUUUGCUACAACCCGACCUGAUUGACCAGACCAUUGACCAGACCAUUGACCAGACCAUUGACCAGACCAUUGACCAGACCAUUGACCAGACCAUUGACCAGACCAUUGACCAGACCAUUGACCAGACCAUUGACCAGACCAUUGACCAGACCAUUGACCAGACCACUGACCAGACCAUUGACCAGACCCCAUAACUGAUCGGCCUAUCUCCCAAGCACUGCGAGGUGUCAAUCAGGUUCGCCAGAGGGGGGCUCAUUCCCUGUCCGAGUAGGGGACCUCAACCCCUCUCAGCACGGCAAACCCCGCCUUCAGCCGCCCAGCUGUAAAUCUCCCCAAGAGUAGUGUCCGGUGUCCGAUCCAUCCGUGGGCGAGCACCCACGCCCCGGGAUGGCUACUCUCACUCACCGCCUUCACUUUCUUUUUAAGGCCGCUUCAACGUAUUUCUUGUUACACGCACCAAGGUCUCAAAACAGGAAAAAAAACUCGUAUAAACACAGAGCAAAACUCCCUAAAUCUUCGAAUAUUGCAAAUGCAAAAGGUUCUCUUUUCGAAGGGUCGAAAGAGCGAAACACCCCUGCACCCGUACCCCUGCACCACUGCUGCAUGCUUGUACUUCAUCCCGCAUGCGGUGUACUACGCUGCUUGGCGCACCACUCCCUCACGUGCCGACUCACCUUCCGAUGCCACCCUACCCCGGUGUUGUGUCACGUCUUUUUCGGAAAAGAACCGAUCGGUGGUUCUCGGGAUCCCGUGAUAAUAAGAAGCCCUCCAGGAUACCAACCCCGGGGGGGUGUAUUCCCCCCCCCCGGGGGUAUGGGGGGGCUCCCCCGCUGCAACAACACCCACAGCAACCAGUGCCAUCACUGCACUUUCCUACGAAUAAGGCCCUUCAUCAUGUCCAAACUAUUACCGUCGGGUGUCAGUUCGUAACGGGCGCCACCACCACAACCACCACCACCAUCAGCACCAGCAACACCAGCACCGCCCUCGACAUCCUCAGCCAGCAGGAAGCCCGAGGGGGACAAGCCGCGGAUGAUCAGCCGUGUAACCGCACCGCCCCCGCCGGUGCCAGUGCUCCUGCCGGUGGUAGAAGGGGUGGUAGUGGUGGUGGUAGUGGUGGUGGUGGUGGUCGCGGAGGAAGAUGGACUUGUCGCGGGCGGCUCCGAGUUGUCAAAGUCCAACACCUACUCAGCGGUCAACAUCAAUAUUAGCCCCCGGGGUCAAACAGCACCCGACAGCACCCCAGACCGGGGGAGGAGCGCGCCGGGAGGGAGGUGUAGAACAGCAAGGCGAGAUGACACGGCGAGGGGGACAGAGGGGGACAGAAAACUCAGCGGAAAAGUGUAAAAAGUGCACAAAGCUGGCUGGAAAGCGGAGACGAGUCAACGGGCGCGGGGGAGAAGUGAGAAUCCAUUGAGGCUCUCAGGGAAAAGCCAAGCAGACAGGUGAUAUGAUGACGGCGAAGGGGCGUAAGCUGUGGUGAUUUCCAACCAUGCAUUCCUCGUCGCCCGUUUGCGGAGAAUAUCCCUCCCUCCCUCCCUUCCGCUCGCUCUCCCUCCCGGCUUCGGCUUCCGUGUCCGUGUGUAUCGUCCAGGGUUUGCCGUAAUCUUCACACCCCUCCGGGCCCCCGGGGCUACACUCCCUGGCGCCCCCUUCGACAUACCCAACGUAACCCCACAUACAUACAUACGUACAUACAUACAUACAUACAUACAUACAUACAUACAUACACACACCUGGCCAGUGUGCAGCCAGUUGGUCAGGUACUCGGCCUCCAGGGGGGCGAACCCGUGCUCCUCGAAGAUCUGACGAUGAUGGAGUGCAGGCCGCGGGGAAAUGGGCUCAUGAAGUACGGUGUUAUAAGAAAUGUAGUAGAGAAGGAAAAGAGGAUAUCAAGGAGAGAGACAAGUAAUAAUAACAUAUCAGGACUAGAACGCGAUGGGCAACCCAUAUCACAUUUGUACACGUAACGUACUACAAUUGUACAACAUGUAAGUGAAAGACAUUGUGGGUGCACCUGCCUCCGCCCCCAAUGUCGCUCCGCGUUCCUGCGACUGGCUGAUCAUCCCUGGCGCCAACCCCUUCCUGUUGCUGCCGCCAACCCCCUACCCCUACCCCCCUACCCCUGCCCCUACUCCCCUCCCCUACCCCUACCCUCACCCCCCUACCGCUACUGCUACCCCACCCCCCUGUCUCUGUCCAAACCCUCCCUCCCCUUCCCUCCCUCUCCUUCCUUCCCUCUCCUUCCUUCCCUCUCCUUGCUUUGUACGUCGCAACACUUGUAUUGUCGACUGUGCAUAUGACUACCGCCUCGCGCCGCUGCCCCUGCUGCCGCCGCUGCUGCCGCCGCUGCUGCCGCUGCUGCUGCUGCUGCUCCCUUCCCCCACCUCCCCCGUUCUUGUUCCCUUCUCAUGCCCCUCCCAUUGCCCCACUCCUGCCGCUAUCGCUUACGUCGUACACUUCCUCCAGAGCGGCAAGUAUACCCGUCAGCACCGCCUCUCGUGAGACAGACGGACGUACAGACAGCUCCGAUGCAGCGGCCCCCGCGGCCCCACCUUGUUCUCCCGCCGACCGCUCUGCCGCUGCCCGCUCCAGAAGCUCGUCCAAGCAGGUGGUUGGAGUUCGGUUAUUGACGUUGAGGCCAAUGCCCGUAAUGACGUUGAAGCUGGAAGGACGGUGGGCCGAUGACGGGCGGGGCCGGCGAAGGAACGUCGUACAUAGGGUCGUACGUACGUAGGGGUCCGUGAGGGGAGUUGGACAGUGAGACACGGGGGGCAGUGGUGGUGGUGGUGGUGGUAAGUCGAACCACCGGGGGUGGGGGAACGUGAACGCGGGUGUCCAAGAGAGCCCCCCGGGGCAUUGCGGGGAAGGGAGAGCGAGGUGCGAGGAGUACCCUACCUGUCCGUGUGUCUGAGUGUCUUACAACGGGUCGAGGGAGAGGCGAGGAAUACUACCCCUACCCACCCCCAUGCACCCACGAAUCCGGCCCUCCAGCCCACACCGCUACCCAGCAACUAACCACUAACCAUCCCUGCCCUUCACCCACCUCCUCCACCCCCAUCCACUCCUCCUCCUCAUUAUCAUCCUGCCCUUCGAAAAGAUCCCUCCCUUGCAAUUCCAAGACUCCCUUUUUUCGGUGUUUUUCCAUGUCUCCCCCUUCCCAUCCGCUCCCCCUCGUCCACCGGCCUCUCCCCCCCCCCAACCCACCAUCCGCCCUGCCAUGUGGUGUGUAUGAGCGCCCCCGCCACCUUCAGAUCCCCCGAGUAGAUGUCGUUAGGCCACUUGAUGCGGAGCAGGCCAGGGAGGGGAACCAGACCGGCGUCCUGAACAUUGGGACCGGGUGGUGAUGGUGGGGGUGGGGGUGGGGGUGAGGAGGAGGAGAAAGAACCCGCGUGUGUACGACCCCGAGGUAGUCAUCAGGGCAUCACGUGCAUUGGUGUGGUGUGGUGUGGUGUGGCGGCAUGCAAGUGCGCCUGCGGGUUUGUUAUUCACAAAUGGGUGUGUGUGUUUUGGGGGGGGGGGUACGUGUCUGAGGCCGCAGGUCUAUUAGUUGUACGUUAAAAAGCAACGUAGUUUCCCUUUCGGGAAUCUCACAGCAUGCGCUGUGAGAUUUGUUAAGCUAGCAGCUUGGGGUUGUUCAGAGCUCUUGGCUUAUGGUUAUACCAAAAUUAAAAUUAAACCAUAAUAUGUACUGUACGGACUUUAUUCAAUAAAGUCAAUCACUUAGCAGGUAGCUACUAACGUAGACUGUUCGCCUGGUGGUGGUGGAUGGUGGUGGUGGUGCGUGGCAUACGCGGCUGAGCGUUUCUCACGCUCCUCCACCAGCNNNNNNNNNNNNNNNNNNNNNNNNNNNNNNNNNNNNNNNNNNNNNNNNNNNNNNNNNNNNNNNNNNNNNNNNNNNNNNNNNNNNNNNNNNNNNNNNNNNNNNNNNNNNNNNNNNNNNNNNNNNNNNNNNNNNNNNNNNNNNNNNNNNNNNNNNNNNNNNNNNNNNNNNNNNNNNNNNNNNNNNNNNNNNNNNNNNNNNNNNNNNNNNNNNNNNNNNNNNNNNNNNNNNNNNNNNNNNNNNNNNNNNNNNNNNNNNNNNNNNNNNNNNNNNNNNNNNNNNNNNNNNNNNNNNNNNNNNNNNNNNNNNNNNNNNNNNNNNNNNNNNNNNNNNNNNNNNNNNNGACACACAAGGUAGUUGAUGAAGGGCGCCUGGGCGGGGGAGGACACCCGCAGCCGCCGCAGCGCGGAGAACAUCAGGCAGCCCAGGGGGGAGGUCCACUGGUUGCCUCCGCGACCUGGGAGGGGGGGCCCCGGGGGGUGAUGGGGACGGUGCUGGUGCUGCUGGUGAAGUUGUGUGUUGAGGACGGGGGAGGGGGGGGGAUUAGGUGUAGCGACAUACACUACAUGCACAGAAUUGGCUGCCGACAGGGGUGGUGGUGGUGGUGGUGGUAGUGGUGGCGUGGUGGUGUGGAAAAGUGGUGGUGUUGGGGUUUGAGGAGAAAAAAGGAAAACGAAAAUGCUGCACUUCUUUUUGCAAAAUGUCCAUGAAGGGCAGGGCAGAGCAGGGUAGGGCAGAGGCGCGUGUGUCUCUCUCUCUCUCUCUCUCUACUGGAAAACCCUAGUCUGGGGACCUGGCGUGAACACUGGAUCCUUUCCCUGCCCGUUUUGUCGCCUUCCGCAGACCCGUACAGACCCGCUUAAACCCCAACCCGCCGCUGCCGUACAUUUCGUUCCACUCCUCAUCCAUAUCGCAAAACCCUAAACCCCAAUGGCUCUUUCAUCUCCCCGUGACUCGGACCAACCCGAAUUUAGUUCCUUUAGAGACCUAGGUGGCGCCAUGUCCAGUCCGGCCUCUCCGGCUCAGCGCGCUCCGGAACCUUCCAUAGCUCCCUCCGAAACCAAUGGUUGCACCACUCGUACGUCUCCUCCGAAUCGGGGCCUCAGUACCGCACCCUUUACCUUUGCCACUCGUUUGUCGGUCCGCCACCGCCACGACACCGUCCCCCAGCAACGCCCCAUGGCUCCUCAGUAGCUCCUGUGUGGAGUCGAGAGUCGCAGCCGCCAGCAGCACGCGACCCAUGGUUCGCGUGCCGCCCUCCGUGACUGGCUGAGCCAGACGCCGGGAGCACUCGGCGGCGUCGAACGCGGGCAUCGCGCAUGACGGUACGGCAGAUGGAUUGAGGUGCAAGACGAGUGCAGGCCCGCCAGAACCACCGGGUUGAGCGUCUGCUGCAGCGAUCUGUGCGGCCGGAGUGAACCGUGGGUGGUCAUAGUCAGCUGGUUAGGUGGCUGCUUUGUAAAGGUCACGUGGCCACGUUGUGUGCAUGUGCAUUUUAAAGGCGGACUGGCUGUGGCUGGCGUCAUAUGGCGGUUGGGCGGGUGGGAAUCCUACAUGCAAGGUCAUUUCCAAAGCACCAACUGGAUGGUUGGGGAAGGGAAGGGGGCACUGCGGUGUUGCAACGUAGGCAACGCACUUGGCGGCAAUUUUUGGAUUUCAUGUCCCGCAAUACUGUCGUGUAUCGUGAACUACGCGGCGGUUGUGAUUCAGUUAUUCCCGUAUAGACACUGUACCUCUUUAGCGACCUGCUCUACUCGGGCCGCAUCGUCGGACGUUCGACAGAACGCAACGACGUGGUGCACGGCAUUAUUGGAAUCCGACAUGGUGGACGAGGCCAAUGCUCUUGCUCCUGUCCGUGUUGAGACGGAACCAAUUACAGCACGCGAGGUCGCAGGCCGUGCAAUGUGAGAAGGCGAUGAGCAGAUUGGGUCCGUGCCGCUUGUGGUAAAUAUCGAUGAUCGGCGUUGGUGCCUGGAGGCAGCCAACGGGGCCCAAAGCGUUUGCCCCCAGCGCUCGCGACAGCAGAGGUUAAACCGCAGCGGGCUCAAGACUAUUUUUUGCAUAUUGUUAUGAUAUAACACAUAUUAUACAGGUAUUCGCUGAGCAACUAUAUGUUGCUCCAGUUCCGUACGUUAAUUGGGACACAGGCAAGGAUAAUGGCGAAGGAAAUGAGUCUCACUAAUUGUUGUUGAAUAGCAAAUGGUUCCAGUGGAAAGCGGUGUUCAGCAUGUCUUGUCCAUCAGAGCCUCAGUUCAUAUUUCCGUACAAUUGGGCGGGAGACAAAGCAAAGGUUACACUACCGCUUGGAAAGGGUUGAACAAAGAAGACUAUGAAGCAUUAGGUUUCUUAUAGCUAGAAGUUAAGCCUUGUUCUAUUAGACCGUCUAAAAAUGCAAGCAACGAAGUAUGUUUUGGUUACGGGUGGAGUCGUCAGCGGCCUUGGCAAGGGCGUGACGGCGAGCAGCAUUGGAGUGCUGCUAAAGAAUUGCGGAUACCGUGUGACAUCAAUAAAAAUUGGUGCGGUCGCCACUACAUGGCGCGUCAAACUACCUGUCGCCGUCAGGAGUCCCUCCAUCAGAUCCCACGCCCCGUAGAUCCCUACCUAAACGUGGAUGCGGGUACUAUGUCCCCAUUUGAGCACGGAGAAGUGUUUGUACUGGACGACGGCGGCGAGGUGCGCCACACUGGCGGCUAGCACCAUCGUAUGAGGCCGCAAACUUAACUUAAUUGAAUUGGUUAUCUCCAGGCAGACUUGGACUUGGGCAAUUAUGAACGCUUCAUGGACAUCACUCUUACCAGGGACAGCAACAUUACGACGGGGAAGAUUUACCAGGUCGGCAGAAGCACCACGUCCUGUGCCUUUCAGAUAAAGCCAUAGGAUACUAUCACAUUUAACACGCAAAUAUAAUCAUGUGUGUUUUCGUGCCUACAGUGUUGGUUAGGUUAGUUAUCAUUUAGGGUUUUCACGAUUUACUGUCUGUCCCCUGCACCCGUCCCUUUUCGUUGUUAAGGCAGUGAUUGAGCGCGAGCGGCGAGGUGACUACCUCGGGAAAACAGUGCAGGUGCGAAAUGAUACGGGGGUUUUAAUUCUUGAAAGAGACCAUCUUGCUUCGUAGAUGUUGUUCAACAUGUAUCGUGCACCUGCCUCACGUUUGGCGAUGUACUCGCGGUACUGCAGGAAGGGAAAUGUAAGCCCAAGUGGUAGCCACGGCUACAUUUUGACCCUGGAACUUUAGCCUGCCUGUGUCUGAGAGCUCCUGAAGUUCGACGCUGUUUAGUGCCAGACCCCGCAUGCUCUUCGACUCAUCCACUUGCUAAAGCUGCAAACUACGUUUUUUCCUGAAAAGUACACUUCCUGUAAGCUACUGUACUAGUGUUUGUUUUUUCGUUUCCAUAAACGGCGCCUUCAUAGCACCUUCCAUCCUCGUAGCUUCCUUUGCCGUACGCAAGGAUCCACAUGUAUCUAUUCCCAACGUUUUCUGUAUGUAACCCACCGUGCCGUUCUCCACCUUUUUCCAUUUGGGUCCACUCCAUGCUGCCUCUGUUAACGCACGAUAACUCUUAGAACCCGCUUUCUUUAAGUUUAAGUUUCUUAUCCGUGCGCCCCUGGCCCCUGCGCUACACUUUGACGACGACGACAUCACGCAGGUGGUCCCGCAUAUCACUGACGCGAUCCAGGAUUGGAUCCAGCGGGUUGCCGUACAGCCCGUGGACGGCAAGGCCGGUGUACCGCACGUGUGCGUGAUUGAGUUGGGCGGCACCGUGGGCGACAUUGAGUCGGCCCCGUUCGUGGAGGCGCUUCGACAGUUUUGCAUCCGCGUUGGCGAACACAACAUUUGCAACGUGCACGUCUCCCUCGUGCCUGUCAUUGGUGGGUUGAGUCCCGCGUGUUUUUAGCUGUAUGUAUGUAUGUAUGUAUGUAUGUCCUUAACGUCCUUUUGUGUCUCUUUGUUGAUGUCGAUCACGGCGAUAUUAUAUGUAUUAAUAUACAAUCCUGGACAUCCCUUCUCCUUAGAAUGCGCAGACUAGCCGGUGGCUUGCUUACUUGCCUGCUUAGGUGUGUGUAUGUUGUUACAGGGUGGUUAACUUCGCCAGCGGCCCCCUUUCCCGGGGCAGUCCCUGCUCUCCCCUGCUAGAGGGGCACCCUAAUCCGUCACCCCAUCCGACUUCAGAAUGUAUUCGUUGGGUUCGGCAACUCACCACCAGCAUCCAACCAAAUCUAGCGGAUCAACGGCGCAUCAACUUAGUUCCUGGUCAGCUCGCAAGUUGAUAUAAUCACGUCCUACACCGUCCAUAUGAUGGGGGGCCACCUCCCAUUUCAUCACUCCUCAAACACCCGAGGAGCUGGCAGGCGGAUUUGAACCCGGGUCGACUGGAUCGACUGGGAGCAGAAGUCAGGCCUUAACUUCUGCCAGCCG
RNAcentral lists this long non-coding RNA (9747 nucleotides) under Volvox carteri. Its description in RNAcentral is "long non-coding RNA (VCAR_LNC003489)". Lineage: Eukaryota; Viridiplantae; Chlorophyta; Chlorophyceae; Chlamydomonadales; Volvocaceae. The record is from RNAcentral.